GUUGAUUCACAAUUGUGUCAGUUUCACUCUUUUAUUCAUUCAAUCCGAAACGGUUUUCAGUUUCAAAAAGAAAGAAAAGCUUCUCACUUUACCUUUCUGACGUUCUAACUUCGUUCCUUUUCUCCUUCUCUGUUCCGUUUCUCUUCCAUGGCUUUAAAUUGCAUCACGUUCUUCUUCCCUUCAUUUUCUCUUUAGGGUUCCGAAAUUGACAGAUUUGGGAGAGAGGCUUUCUGCAAUUUUUCAGCUUUUGCAAAAAUUUAUUCCGCUGCAGUAUAUUACACUUCUAUUGGUCUUUUCCUUAUGCAGUAUGAAUAUCAGCAUAAGAUAGCCCCAAAUUCAUGCCUCAUUGAGGUUCUUCCUACAACCUUUCCUGAAUGAGAAGGGAUUUCAUGGAUGGAUUUGUAGGAUUGCUAAGGUUUUCACGAGGUGAGAGACCACUGAGUUCCUUACUGAACAGCUUUUUUAUCCACUUCUCAUGUGGCUUCAUGGUGAUCUUGAUAUGAGCAAAAGUUGCAUCAAGAAUGUGUUUGUUGAGAUCAAAAGUCACCAAUUAGAUGUCCAAGUAAUACGUUAUUAUUUGAUCACAUGGAAAAUGCAUCAACCGAAGUAUUACAUAAAAGGCAUAAAGGAAUGAAUUGAAUGACCUUUUAACUAUGACAUGAUUUUGUUCAAUUUGAUUCAGGUGCAGUGACAAUUAAGUUCCAGACUUUAAAUGCAACUUUUUCUUGACCUACUCGAUCAUCCUCUAUUGAUUCAGCCUCAUUCUUUGAUUGUAGUGUAUAGAAACAAAGCAGGAGAUAGGUGCUGAAGUGAAAGUGAGAUGACCAAUGAGGCGAGAAAGAUGGUGGUUCAGGAAACUUGCUUCCUUGAGUGGCAAAAUUUAACUGUACAAGCUUCUAGACAAGGCCAUGUUGAUCAGAAAGAGCUUUAAUGGAAUUCCUAUGAAACCUUGGAUGAAUAGUUGGAGCCGGAGUGGAAAACCUUGGAUGAAUAGUUGGUUCAUAUGAGUUAGGAAAUUCCAUAGAGCAUAGAAAGUUAGUUUUAGGUUAUUGAAUUAUUAGUUAAAUAAUAAUUAUAGAUUAAUUUCUAAGCACUGACAGUGUAAAAAAAUUUACACUAUCAUUCCUUUUGGUAGAUCUAACUCUAAUAAUUAAUAUUAAUAUUAAUCCAUAAAAGAUAAAGAGUAUCAAUGAAGAAGAUAACCUUCCCAUUAUCCCUUUUCCCUGCAACUACAUAAGUAUU
Molecule: long non-coding RNA, 1242 nt
Organism: Lotus japonicus
Lineage: Eukaryota; Viridiplantae; Streptophyta; Magnoliopsida; Fabales; Fabaceae
Exons: 4
Source: RefSeq, a predicted model, not a curated record